This 253-nucleotide ribosomal RNA is filed under the name uncultured bacterium. RNAcentral's name for it is "partial 16S ribosomal RNA". It matches the Rfam family "Archaeal small subunit ribosomal RNA", at positions 474 to 727 of the family's 1478-position model. The record is from RNAcentral.
UACCAGCACCCCGAGUGGUCGGGACGUUUAUUGGGCCUAAAGCGUCCGUAGCCGGUUCUACAAGUCUUCCGUUAAAUCCACCUGCUCAACAGAUGGGCUGCGGAAGAUACUAUGGAGCUAGGAGGCGGGAGAGGCAAGCGGUACUCGAUGGGUAGGGGUAAAAUCCGUUGAUCCAUUGAAGACCACCAGUGGCGAAGGCGGCUUGCCAGAACGCGCUCGACGGUGAGGGAUGAAAGCUGGGGGAGCAAACCGG